This 515-nucleotide ribosomal RNA is filed under the name uncultured bacterium. RNAcentral's name for it is "bacterial SSU rRNA". It matches the Rfam family "Bacterial small subunit ribosomal RNA", at positions 32 to 518 of the family's 1533-position model. The record is from RNAcentral.
ACGACGCUGGCGGCGUGCCUAAUACAUGCAAGUCGAACGGUCUUUCUAUGGAAGCUUGCUUCCACUGAGAAGAUAGUGGCGGACGGGUGAGUAACACGUGGGUAACCUGCCCAUAAGAGGGGGAUAACAUCCGGAAACGGGUGCUAAUACCGCAUAGUUUUCUUGAUCGCAUGAUUGAGAAAGGAAAGACGGCCUUUGUGCUGUCGCUUAUGGAUGGACCCGCGGCGUAUUAGUUAGUUGGUGAGGUAAUGGCUCACCAAGACGAUGAUACGUAGCCGACCUGAGAGGGUGAUCGGCCACAUUGGGACUGAGACACGGCCCAAACUCCUACGGGAGGCAGCAGUAGGGAAUCUUCCGCAAUGGACGAAAGUCUGACGGAGCAACGCCGCGUGAGUGAAGAAAGGUUUUCGGAUCGUAAAACUCUGUUGUCAGAGAAGAACAAGUUGGAGAGUAACUGCUCCAGCCUUGACGGUAUCUGACCAGAAAGCCACGGCUAACUACGUGCCAGCCGCCGC